ACAGAGGGGGCCAGCGUUAUUCGGAAUUACUGGGCGUAAAGGGCGCGUAGGCGGCAAUUCAAGUCAUCUGUGAAAUCUCCGGGCUUAACUCGGAACGGUCAGAUGAUACUGUUUUGCUAGAGUGCAGAAGGGGCAAUCGGAAUUCUUGGUGUAGCGGUGAAAUGCGUAGAUAUCAAGAGGAACACCUGAGGUGAAGACGGGUUGCUGGGCUGACACUGACGCUGAGGCGCGAAAGCCAGGGGAGCAAACGGGA
This 253-nucleotide ribosomal RNA is filed under the name uncultured prokaryote. Its description in RNAcentral is "partial 16S ribosomal RNA". It matches the Rfam family "Bacterial small subunit ribosomal RNA", at positions 525 to 777 of the family's 1533-position model. The record is from RNAcentral.